UUUCCCCGCCUAUAUACCGCCGUCGUCAGCUUACCCUGUGAAGGGCCAAUAGUAAGCGCAAUUGGCACAGCCCAAAACGCCAGGUCGAGGUGUAGCGUAUGGAGGGGGAAGAAAUGGGCUACAUUCAGUGAACCACUGAACACGGAAGGCGGGCUGAAACGCUCGCCCGAAGGAGGAUUUAGCAGUAAGCAGGAAAUAGAGCGUCCCGCUGAAACCGGCCCUGAAGCGCGUACACACCGCCCGUCACUCUCCCCGAAACAAAACACACAUAUACCUAAGACCCAAUCAUCAGAAAGGGGAGGCAAGUCGUAACAUGGUAAGUGUACCGGAAGGUGCACUUGGAAAAAAU
Molecule: ribosomal RNA, 349 nt
Filed under: Bodianus mesothorax (splitlevel hogfish)
Lineage: Eukaryota; Metazoa; Chordata; Actinopteri; Labriformes; Labridae
Description: partial 12S ribosomal RNA
Rfam family: Bacterial small subunit ribosomal RNA
Source: RNAcentral